This 1081-nucleotide long non-coding RNA is filed under the name Marmota monax (woodchuck). Lineage: Eukaryota; Metazoa; Chordata; Mammalia; Rodentia; Sciuridae. The record is from RNAcentral.
GUCCCAGGGACCCUGCGUCCAGGUGGGCCCAGGUCCUGAGCUUCCUCCCCUCCAUCCACACAGUCGCCGGCCAGGCCAACGCCCCAGAGAGAACAACGGGGCCAUUUGUGUGUGACGAGGGUGUACCCCUUUCUUAGGGCCACUGCAACAGAUGACCAGACACUCGGGUGGCUUGAAACAGCCGAAGUUCACUGUCUCACAGUUUUGGAGGCCAAAAUCCAACACCACGGUGCUAACAGGGCCGCACUCUGUGCAGAAUCUCUAGGGGGGCGUCCUUCCCCGCCCCCUCCAGCUUCUGGUGGCUUCUGGUGUUCCUGGGCUUGGUUGGUGUCACGGCAGCAUCUGCCUCCGUCCUUACAGGGCUUCUUCCUGGGGUCUCUGGCUUCUUUCAGCCUCUCAGAAGACCCUUCAUUGGAUUUAGGGUUCACUCUAAUCCAGGGGGGCCUCAUCUUGAGAUUCUUACCUUAAUCACCUCGGCAUCGACCCUUCCCCUGGUGAGGUCACCUCCACAGGUGCCAGGGUUGGACUCAGAGGAGUCACUACUGGACUCACGACAGGGAGUCAGCAUUCCCCCAUGGACAGCAGGCCCAGGCCUCAGGGGCCAGCGAGCCCGUGAUGGAGGUCCUCCUGAAGGCUCAGCUGAUUCCGCUCCUUGUCACCACCAUAGGCUCUGAAAGCAAACCCUCUGGAGGCCCAAACUCCGGUCAUUCCCUCGGCUUUCCUGAUGUUUCCACAGCCACAGGCCCUUGGUCACCGUUGCUCUCCACUGAACGUCUUCUCCAGAUGGGUUUAUUUGUACAGCCUCAUCCUGCACAGUAAUGUCCACCAGAUCAGGGGUUUGAGGGGUCCCUCCUCGUUUCUCCGGCACACACUGAAGGGAGUGGAGCAUGCCCAUUUGAUCUGCCUCUCUGUCGGGUGACGCUCGGCCCUGAGCAUUGAAUCCUCGUGUUCACCCUCGUGUCUACCCUCCGGGGAAGGAACUGCUGAUUUCAUCCCCACUUCACAGUUGAGAAAACAGAGGUCCAGAAAGGGGGGGUGACUAGAGCCAGGAGCAGGGAGGAAAUGGGAAGCCAGAGAAGAG